GACGAACGCUGGCGGCGUGCCUAACACAUGCAAGUCGAGCGAGAGGAGUUCUUCGGAACAAAUCUAGCGGCGGACGGGUGAGUAACACGUGGGCAACCUGCCUUAUAGAGGGGAAUAGCCUUCCGAAAGGAAGAUUAAUACCGCAUAACAUUGUAGUUUCGCAUGAAGCAACAAUUAAAGGAGAAAUCCGCUAUAAGAUGGGCCCGCGGCGCAUUAGCUAGUUGGUGAGGUAACGGCUCACCAAGGCGACGAUGCGUAGCCGACCUGAGAGGGUGAUCGGCCACAUUGGGACUGAGACACGGCCCAG
This 307-nucleotide ribosomal RNA is filed under the name uncultured bacterium. Its description in RNAcentral is "bacterial SSU rRNA". It matches the Rfam family "Bacterial small subunit ribosomal RNA", at positions 28 to 334 of the family's 1533-position model. The record is from RNAcentral.